UCAACAUUAUGGUCAAAAUAUUCUAUGUUGAAAGCUGUUAUAAAGUUAAAACAUGACAUAGAUAUAAAAACUUACACCAGAUUGACUGCUUUCUUAAAAAGGCAAAGUGCAGGAUUUCAGAGUAAAAAAUCGAAGGUACUAACAGCUGAACAAAUUGAGACGUUUAUUAAUGAAGCUCCAGAUCAGCAACAUCUAGCUACAAAGGUUGCUCUUAUAUUUGGAGUCUGUGGCGCAUGCAGACGCGAAGAGCUCACAAAUGUAUCAGUAAAAGAUAUAGAAACACAUGGGGACAUACUUCUUGUCAAAAUACCAAAUACAAAAAAUAAAAUUCCCAGGUCCUUCACUAUUGACGGCCCAUUUGCAGAAAUAGU
This is a long non-coding RNA of Cydia pomonella (codling moth), 371 nucleotides long. RefSeq lists it as uncharacterized. Lineage: Eukaryota; Metazoa; Arthropoda; Insecta; Lepidoptera; Tortricidae. The transcript is spliced from 2 exons. The record is from RefSeq and is a predicted model, not a curated record.